This 116-nucleotide ribosomal RNA is filed under the name Escherichia coli. Its description in RNAcentral is "partial 16S ribosomal RNA". It matches the Rfam family "Bacterial small subunit ribosomal RNA", at positions 1 to 109 of the family's 1533-position model. RNAcentral also lists the same sequence under 2 other names. The record is from RNAcentral. Lineage: Bacteria; Pseudomonadati; Pseudomonadota; Gammaproteobacteria; Enterobacterales; Enterobacteriaceae.
AAAUUGAAGAGUUUGAUCAUGGCUCAGAUUGAACGCUGGCGGCAGGCCUAACACAUGCAAGUCGAACGGUAACAGGAAGCAGCUUGCUGUUUCGCUGACGAGUGGCGGACGGGUGA